UUAUAAUAAUAAUUUAUAUGAAAUAAAUUUAUUAUCAUUAUUAUAUUUGUAUAUAAGCUGAGAAGAGUUGAUGCCACCAGUGGUGGAAGAAACCCAUGUAGCAUCAAUUUCUGAUAUAACUUCUUUAAACUUCAAUAAAACAAAAAUGUGCAAGACAUGCAGAAAGUUAUAUAAAGAUGAUGUAGAGAGGGUGCAAAACUUUAAUUGCUUGCAUUGUUAUUAUGUACAACAUAUAGAAAAUGGAAACGACCAUAUUUUAAACUAUCGUAAGAAACUGCUAAAACACUAACUUAUGUGAUAUAAAACAGCACUCGGAGCAGU
Molecule: long non-coding RNA, 321 nt
Filed under: Androctonus crassicauda
Lineage: Eukaryota; Metazoa; Arthropoda; Arachnida; Scorpiones; Buthidae
Source: RNAcentral